RNAcentral lists this ribosomal RNA (253 nucleotides) under uncultured bacterium. RNAcentral's name for it is "partial 16S ribosomal RNA". It matches the Rfam family "Bacterial small subunit ribosomal RNA", at positions 524 to 776 of the family's 1533-position model. The record is from RNAcentral.
UACGUAGGGGGCAAGCGUUGUCCGGAAUUACUGGGCGUAAAGCGUGCGCAGGCGGUUUUGUAAGCCAGAUGUGAAAUCCCCGGGCUUAACCUGGGAAUGGCAUUUGGGACUGCAAGGCUGGAGUGUGGCAGAGGAGACUGGAAUUCCCGGUGUAGCAGUGAAAUGCGUAGAUAUCGGGAGGAAUACCGAUGGCGAAGGCAGGUCUCUGGGCUGACACUGACGCUCAUGCACGAAAGCGUGGGGAGCAAACAGG